GACGAACGCUGGCGGCGUGCUUAACACAUGCAAGUCGAACGGAAAGGCCCUUCGGGGUACUCGAGUGGCGAACGGGUGAGUAACACGUGGGUGAUCUGCCCUGCACUUUGGGAUAAGCCUGGGAAACUGGGUCUAAUACCGAAUAGGACCGCGCGCUUCAGGGUGUGUGGUGGAAAGCUUUUGCGGUGUGGGAUGGGCCCGCGGCCUAUCAGCUUGUUGGUGGGGUAAUGGCCUACCAAGGCGACGACGGGUAGCCGGCCUGAGAGGGUGACCGGCCACACUGGGACUGAGAGACGGCCCAGACUCCUACGGGAGGCAGCAGUGGGGAAUAUUGCACAAUGGGCGCAAGCCUGAUGCAGCGACGCCGCGUGAGGGAUGACGGCCUUCGGGUUGUAAACCUCUUUCACCAGGGACGAAGCGCAAGUGACGGUACCUGGAGAAGAAGCACCGGCCAACUACGUG
RNAcentral lists this ribosomal RNA (462 nucleotides) under uncultured bacterium. RNAcentral's name for it is "partial 16S ribosomal RNA". It matches the Rfam family "Bacterial small subunit ribosomal RNA", at positions 28 to 507 of the family's 1533-position model. The record is from RNAcentral.